ACUCGGGAGGAGGACGUGGCUCGACCAAAGGCUCAAAGAACUCAAUAGACAGUCCAGUGUAUCUGGGACAACAGCAAAAGAAGAGCUCACAUAUUCUGCUGUUGGCCUCUUGAAGCCAGGAGGAACACGAGUGACGGCUAAUGUCUGCAAAAUCUCCUCUGUCGUCUGUGAAUCGACAAGACACAAAUAUGAAACACAGAAUAAAGUGAAACAGCUCCCAGUGCUGGUCUAGAUUGGUGUUAAAAUGGGCCAGUGCUGCACUACAACACACGGCAAACAGCAAGCUCCCGAACAUCAUGGUCUGACGAGAGAAACACAUUUAUUUUAUCUGUUAAUCAAUGAAUUCUGUUUGCAAUGUAAGAAACGUGGUACACUGUAAAAAAAAUGAUAUAAUCAAUCAGUCAUGAUAGCUUAUGUUUUUAGUUAAU
This is a non-coding RNA of Danio rerio (zebrafish), 428 nucleotides long. NCBI's taxonomy places the organism in Eukaryota, Metazoa, Chordata, Actinopteri, Cypriniformes, Danionidae. The record is from Ensembl.